GGCUCUGAUAUUGUCCUGUCACAGCAGUACUAUUUCCAGAUACUGCUGGUGCGGGACAUAACCAGAGCU
RNAcentral lists this microRNA precursor (69 nucleotides) under Dendroctonus ponderosae (mountain pine beetle). RNAcentral describes it as "mir-1000 microRNA precursor family". It matches the Rfam family "mir-1000 microRNA precursor family". Lineage: Eukaryota; Metazoa; Arthropoda; Insecta; Coleoptera; Curculionidae. The record is from Rfam by way of RNAcentral.